UAGGGAAUCUUCCGCAAUGGGCGAAAGCCUGACGGAGCAACGCCGCGUGAGUGAAGAAGGUCUUCGGAUCGUAAAACUCUGUUAUUAGGGAAGAACAAAUGUGUAAGUAACUAUGCACGUCUUGACGGUACCUAAUCAGAAAGCCACGGCUAACUACGUG
This 160-nucleotide ribosomal RNA is filed under the name Uncultured bacterium HZ_22L. Its description in RNAcentral is "partial 16S ribosomal RNA". It matches the Rfam family "Bacterial small subunit ribosomal RNA", at positions 355 to 507 of the family's 1533-position model. The record is from RNAcentral. RNAcentral also lists the same sequence under 1 other name.